AGGAUAGAACGCUAGCGACAGGACUUAACACAUGACGAAGUCGGAGGGGCAGCAAUAGAAGUAGACAAUUACGUUGGUGGCCGACCGGCGCGACGGGUGAAGUAACGCGUAUCGACCAACCUACCUAUCGAAGGAAGGGAACGUAACCGGACGAAAGUCGGACUAAUACCGCAUAAAACAGGGGCACCGCAUGGUGAUAUUGUUAAAGAAAUUCGCUGAUAGAUGGGCAUGCGUUCCAUUAGGUAGUUGGUGAGGUAACGGCUCACCAAGCCGACGAUGGAUAGGGGAACUGAGAGGUUGGUCCCCCACACUGGUACUGAGACACGGACCAGACUCCUACGGGAGGCAGCAGUGAGGAAUAUUGGUCAAUGGGCGGGAGCCUGAACCAGCCAAGUCGCGUGAAGGAAGAAGGAUCUAUGGUUCGUAAACUUCUUUGCAGGGGAAUAAAGUGCAGGACGUGUCCUGUUUUGUAUGUACCCUGAGAAUAAGGAUCGGCUAACUCCGUGCCAGCCGCCGC
This 517-nucleotide ribosomal RNA is filed under the name uncultured bacterium. RNAcentral's name for it is "bacterial SSU rRNA". It matches the Rfam family "Bacterial small subunit ribosomal RNA", at positions 31 to 518 of the family's 1533-position model. The record is from RNAcentral.